AAUAUUGAAAGAUUUAUCGGAUAAGGAUGGGCACGCGCAAGAUUAGGUAGUUGGUAGGGUAACGGCCUACCAAGCCGAUGAUCUUUAGGGGGCCUGAGAGGGUGAUCCCCCACACUGGUACUGAGACACGGACCAGACUCCUACGGGAGGCAGCAGUGAGGAAUAUUGGACAAUGGGUUAGCGCCUGAUCCAGCCAUCCCGCGUGAAGGACGACGGUUCUAUGGAUUGUAAACUUCUUUUAUAUAGGGAUAAACCUACUCUCGUGAGAGUAGCUGAAGGUACUAUAUGAAUAAGCACCGGCUAACUCCGUGCCAGCAGCCGCGGUAAUACGGAGGGUGCAAGCGUUAUCCGGAUUUAUUGGGUUUAAAGGGUCCGUAGGCGGGCUUGUAAGUCAGUGGUGAAAUCCGGCAGCUCAACUGUCGAACUGCCAUUGAUACUGCAAGUCUUGAGUAAAUUAGAAGUGGCUGGAAUAAGUAGUGUAGCGGUGAAAUGCAUAGAUAUUACUUAGAACACCAAUUGCGAAGGCAGGUCACUAUGUUUUAACUGACGCUGAUGGACGAAAGCGUGGGUAGCGAACAGGAUUAGAUACCCUGGUAGUCCACGCCGUAAACGAUGAUUACUCGUUUUUGGGGCUUUAGCUUCAGAGACUAAGCGAAAGUGAUAAGUAAUCCACCUGGGGAGUACGUUCGCAAGAAUGAAACUCAAAGGAAUUGACGGGGGCCCGCACAAGCGGUGGAGCAUGUGGUUUAAUUCGAUGAUACGCGAGGAACCUUACCAAGGCUUAAAUGGGAAUUGACAGGCUUAGAAAUAGGCUUUUCUUCGGACAAUUUUCAAGGUGCUGCAUGGUUGUCGUCAGCUCGUGCCGUGAGGUGUUAGGUUAAGUCCUGCAACGAGCGCAACCCCUGUCACUAGUUGCUAACAUUAAGUUGAGGACUCUAGUGAGACUGCCUACGCAAGUAGAGAGGAAGGUGGGGAUGACGUCAAAUCAUCACGGCCCUUACGCCUUGGGCCACACACGUGCUACAAUGGACGGUACAGAGGGUAGCUACCAGGUGACUGGAUGCAAAUCUCGAAAGCCGUUCUCAGUUCGGAUUGGAGUCUGCAACUCGACUCUAUGAAGCUGGAAUCGCUAGUAAUCGCGCAUCAGCCAUGGCGCGGUGAAUACGUUCCCGGGCCUUGUACACACCGCCCGUCAAGCCAUGGAAGUUUGGGGUACCUGAAGUCGGUGA
Molecule: ribosomal RNA, 1229 nt
Filed under: Soonwooa buanensis
Lineage: Bacteria; Pseudomonadati; Bacteroidota; Flavobacteriia; Flavobacteriales; Weeksellaceae
Description: bacterial SSU rRNA
Rfam family: Bacterial small subunit ribosomal RNA
Source: RNAcentral